AACGCACAUUGCGCCCUCUGGUAUUCCGGGGGGCAUGCCUGUUCGAGCGUCAUUUCACCACUCAAGCCUGGCUUGGUAUUGGGCGUCGCGGCUCCGCGCGCCUUAAAGUCUUCCGGCUGAGCUGUCCGUCUCUACGCGUUGUGGCAACUAUUCGCGUGGGAGGUCGGGUGGCCGCGGCCGUUAAAUCUUUCAAAGGUUGACCUCGGAUCAGGUAGGGAUACCCGCUGAACUUAA
This 234-nucleotide unclassified non-coding RNA is filed under the name Exobasidium sp. RNAcentral describes it as "partial contains 5.8S ribosomal RNA, internal transcribed spacer 2, and large subunit ribosomal RNA". The stretch from base 1 to 52 matches the Rfam family "5.8S ribosomal RNA", at positions 103 to 154 of the family's 154-position model. Lineage: Eukaryota; Fungi; Basidiomycota; Exobasidiomycetes; Exobasidiales; Exobasidiaceae. RNAcentral also lists the same sequence under 1 other name. The record is from RNAcentral.